RNAcentral lists this ribosomal RNA (253 nucleotides) under uncultured bacterium. RNAcentral's name for it is "partial 16S ribosomal RNA". It matches the Rfam family "Bacterial small subunit ribosomal RNA", at positions 524 to 776 of the family's 1533-position model. The record is from RNAcentral.
UACGUAGGGGGCAAGCGUUGUCCGGAUUUAUUGGGCGUAAAGAGCGUGUAGGCGGCCAGUUAGGUCCGUUGUGAAAACUCGAGGCUCAACCUCGAGACGCCGAUGGAAACCAACUGGCUAGAGUCCGGAAGAGGAGAGUGGAAUUCCUGGUGUAGCGGUGAAAUGCGCAGAUAUCAGGAAGAACACCCGUGGCGAAGGCGGCUCUCUGGGACGGUACUGACGCUGAGACGCGAAAGCGUGGGGAGCGAACAGG